RNAcentral lists this ribosomal RNA (1284 nucleotides) under uncultured soil eukaryote. RNAcentral describes it as "SSU rRNA". It matches the Rfam family "Eukaryotic small subunit ribosomal RNA". The record is from RNAcentral.
UAACCGUAGUAAAUCUAGAGCUAAUACAUGCUAAAAAUCCUGGACGCGGCAACGCGGAAGGGACGAGUUUAUUAGAUUAAAAACCGACACCUCUCCGCGAGGGGAGGUAGCACAGGUGAUUCACAGUAACCGAUCGGAUCGUCGGCCCCGCCGACGACGAUGCAUACGAGUUUCUGCCCUAUCAACUUUAGAUGGUAGAGUAUCGGUCUACCAUGGUCGUAACGGGUGACGGGGGAUUAGGGUUCGAUUCCGGAGAGGGAGCCUGAGAAACGGCUACCACUUCCAAGGAAGGCAGCAGGCGCGCAAAUUACCCAAUCCCGACACGGGGAGGUAGUGACAACGCUUGGCUGAAGUAAUGAUUGAUAGGGACAGUUGGGGGCAUUAGUAUUUAGUUGUCAGAGGUGAAAUUCUAGGAUUUACUAAAGACUGACCAAUGCGAAAGCAUUUGCCAAGGAUGUUUUCAUUAAUCAAGAACGAAAGUAGGGGGAUCGAAGACGAUCAGAUACCGUCGUAGUCUCUACCGUAAACUAUGCCGACCAGGGAUCCGGAGAGUUUGCAUGGAUGACUCCCCGGGCACCUUGUGAGAAAUCAUAAGUGUUUGGGUUUUGGGGGGAGUAUGGUCGCAAGGCUGAAACUUAAAGGAAUUGACGGAAGGGCACCACCAGGAGUGGAACCUGCGGCUUAAUUUGACUCAACACGGGGAAACUUACGAGGUCAGGACACUGUGAGGAUUGACAGAUUGAAAGCUCUUUCUUGAUUCAGUGGGUGGUGGUGCAUGGCCGUUCUUAGUUGGUGGAGUGAUUUGUCUGGUUAAUUCCGUUAACGAACGAGACCUUAACCUGCUAAAUAGUCACGCGAACCGGUCCGCAAGGGCUCAAAGUUCGCGGCUCGACUUCUUAGAGGGACUAUUCGCACCCGCCAGCGAAUGGAAGUUUGAGGCAAUAACAGGUCUGUGAUGCCCUUAGAUGUUCUCGGCCGCACGCGCGUUACACUGACGGAGUCAACGAGCGUUUUUCCUUGCCCGAUAGGGUUGGGUAACCUCCUGAAACUCCGUCGUGAUGGGGAUAGAUCAUUGCAAUUAUUGAUCUUGAACGAGGAAUUCCUAGUAGGCGCGAGUCAUCAACUCGCGCCGAUUACGUCCCUGCCCUUUGUACACACCGCCCGUCGCUCCUACCGAUUGAACGGUCCGGCGAGAACUCCGGAUGGUCGGUGCGCAGGGGGUCAAACCCUGCGUCCGUGCCAGAAGCUAUUCGAACCUUACCGUUUAGAGGAAGGAGAAGUCGU